AGAGGCAAAAACAUUAGUACAGAAAUGUACAGUAAUUUAAUGUUUAAAUCUAAAACACCAUAUCAAUGUGUAUCAAACAUCUUAAGAUCGCUAUUCACAAUGGAAGUAUUGAUAGCUACUACUAUCACUGGAAGGGUUAGUAAUAGAACAUUAGCAAACAAAAAGGAUAAAGGGGAAGCUACCGAAAAAUCAAAGCCAAAUGCUUUGAACCCAUCUAAGCUACUGAUUUGUAAAGAUUUUUACGAACAUUGGAUUGAAAAUGAAUUCAAAAAGAAAGUAUCUGUGGAAGAAUACAACUUUUAAAAGUUAUCAAAGGCUUUUGAUGCUCAUGUUUCAAAAUGCAUCAGCUAUUUGAAGAGACCAAAAGAAAGAGACGGCACUAAUAAAAGUAAAUGUGACAUAAUUAAAGAAAAAAAAAUGAGCGAGAGUAAUUCUAAUAAUGUAGCUAAAAAUGUAAGUGAUGACAAUGAAAGUGGAUUUAUAUGCAG
Phymastichus coffea is the source of this 488-nucleotide long non-coding RNA. RefSeq lists it as uncharacterized. The transcript has 3 exons. The record is from RefSeq and is a predicted model, not a curated record. NCBI's taxonomy places the organism in Eukaryota, Metazoa, Arthropoda, Insecta, Hymenoptera, Eulophidae.